This 538-nucleotide ribosomal RNA is filed under the name uncultured bacterium. RNAcentral describes it as "partial 16S ribosomal RNA". It matches the Rfam family "Bacterial small subunit ribosomal RNA", at positions 354 to 881 of the family's 1533-position model. The record is from RNAcentral.
UGGGGGAAUUUUGGACAAUGGGCGAAAGCCUGAUCCAGCAAUGCCGCGUGUGUGAAGAAGGCCUUCGGGUUGUAAAGCACUUUUGUCCGGAAAGAAAUCCUUGGCUCUAAUACAGUCGGGGGAUGACGGUACCGGAAGAAUAAGCACCGGCUAACUACGUGCCAGCAGCCGCGGUAAUACGUAGGGUGCAAGCGUUAAUCGGAAUUACUGGGCGUAAAGCGUGCGCGGGCGGUUUGCUAAGACCGAUGUGAAAUCCCCGGGCUCAACCUGGGAACUGCAUUGGUGACUGGCAGGCUAGAGUAUGGCAGAGGGGGGUAGAAUUCCACGUGUAGCAGUGAAAUGCGUAGAGAUGUGGAGGAAUACCGAUGGCGAAGGCAGCCCCCUGGGCCAAUACUGACGCUCAUGCACGAAAAGCGUGGGGAGCAAAACAGGAUUAGAUACCCUGGUAGUCCACGCCCUAAAACGAUGUCAACUAGUUGUUGGGGAUUCAUUUUCCUUAGUAACGUAGCUAACGCGUGAAGUUGACCGCCUGGGGAGU